CCCUUAGACGUUCUGGGCCGCACGCGCGCUAAACUGACCGGUGCAACAAGCAUCCGUCCUUGGCCGACAGGCCCGGGCAAUCUUUGAACGCCGGUCGUGAUGGGGAUAGACUUUUGCAAUUUUUGGUCUUCAACGAGGAAUUCCUAGUAAACGCAAGUCAUCAACUUGCAUUGAUUACGUCCCUGCCCUUUGUACACACCGCCCGUCGCACCUACCGAUUGAAUGGUCCGGUGAAGCCUCCGGAUUGGCGCGCACCUCGGUGCCGCCGAGAAGUUGGCUAAACCUUACCAUUUAGAGGAAGGUGAAGUCGUAACA
This 315-nucleotide ribosomal RNA is filed under the name uncultured eukaryote. Its description in RNAcentral is "partial 18S ribosomal RNA". It matches the Rfam family "Eukaryotic small subunit ribosomal RNA", at positions 1470 to 1796 of the family's 1831-position model. The record is from RNAcentral.